UUUCCUGAUUGUUUGUAAACAAGAACAAGAAGCACUGAAGUUAAAAGUUGGAAAGAUAGAGCCAUGCAUGAGAAAUCUGUUUAAAUUGUUGGUCAUGGAAGUCCAAGAAAUUCCACACGCAAUAUAGGCUAUUGGUGCCGCUCUUGAUUACCUCUCAGAAGUAAAGGGCAUGAAGACUGCACACUGGGGAUUUGCUCUCUGGAACCACUCACAGCGACUGUGAUAUGAAGUUCAUGGUAAAGGGUCCCAGUUUGACAUGAAUAUAACAGCGUGAUCCUGCUUGAACAGGCUUCAUACAUGGAGCGGGGCUGCCAUUGCUAAGGCAUAUAAACAAGAGAAAUGCAUCCAGAUCAGAUGUUUUGCCAAACAAUAUGGAAAAAUGCAUAUGUUCCCAAAUUGGAAACAACCCAAAUAUCGUUCAACAACAGAAUGGGAAUAGCUCAGUUAAAUGUUUUAUUAACCGUACAAUAGAAGAAUACCAACGAGCAAUAAAAACAAGCCAAUUGUACUCAACAACAUGGAUCAAUCACACAGACAAUACUGUAUGAAAUAGACUGAAGGCAUGCUAAACGCUCCCAGUUGUGUAACUUGAGAAGGUGGAAAAAUUAAUCCACAGUGUGAGGAUCCAGGACAGGGCUCUUAGAUCAGGAAAGGGGGACAUCUUGAUUGCUGGUGAUAACUAUUGUCUUCCUAAUCUAGGAACGGAAGUACGAACAUGUUUGCAUUGUGACAUUUACUUAUAUUUUUCUAUGAUUUAUUUGUCUCCUUUCCUGCAUAUAUACUAUGGUUCAGUAGAUGUUUUAUUUAAGAACAUAUAAAUCAAAUACAGUAAAACAGGCUUACUCUUUCAGUCUCAAACCCAAGUAUUUCUGUGAAGAAGGCCUGCUUGCAUAUUUUUUAAAUGCAUUAUUACAUGUGUGCAUGAUAUGUAUGCUCCUGGGCACAUAUGUCAUGGCCUGUGCAUGGUGCUCAGAGGUCAGCCCUACUUUUAUGUGAGUGGUGGGGGAGGGGAACUUAGGCAGCUUAGCUCUCAUGGCGAAUGCCUUUACCCACUUAGCCAUCUCUCUCUCAUCCUACAUCUUCUUCCCUUUUGUUAUAUUUUAAUUUCCAUUUUGAGUUCCAUCAAUUUCUUCAGAAUCAGCACAGCCCUGCUUCCUUACGCCAUGUUAUGCAUCUAGUCCAACCCUGCAAACUGCAUAGGAGUAAAGCUGGACCUAACUGACUAGUGUUCCUUGCCUAUCCAGGGUGAUAUCUGCUGAGUGCCAACAUCCACGCUUAUUGUCUUCAGAUCACACAAACGCCAACUGAGUCAUCCACAGCUAGAUAUAGACACUCUAAUGUUGUGCUUUAUAACUCCCAUUGGCUCGUCAGAGACAAAGGACUCGAGACUCUUUUCAAAUAAUCCAUAAGCAUCCAAGCUUCUGCAGCUUUCCUGUUAGGCUGAUCCUGCUUUCAGAAGCUGGCUAUCUCCUUAAAGCUAUGGUGUGUACCUUGAAUCCUUUAUAGUUCCUGUAGCUCUCAAGGUAUUGUGAAACUCAAAAGUCAGGACCCAAAUAGAGCUGAUAGGAGAGACAUUAAGUGCCCAGUGACACUCUUGGACCCAGAGAACUAAGAAGGAAGCAACAGGUACAAUUUCCUUGGAAAGUCACAUGAAACCUUGUCUUGCCUUCUCGAUACUUGAGCUGCCCAUGCCAAACCCAGGUUAUAUAUUCCUUACUUCACAAAUCUUACUGUCUAUAGAGAAGGGUGUAUAUUAUAUACAUUUCUAACUCUAAACCCAGCACUUAUUGGGUAGUUCCUUAAUAAAUUUGUGAG
Non-coding RNA from Rattus norvegicus (Norway rat), 1815 nucleotides. The record is from RefSeq and is a predicted model, not a curated record. Lineage: Eukaryota; Metazoa; Chordata; Mammalia; Rodentia; Muridae.